RNAcentral lists this transfer RNA (57 nucleotides) under Acrobeloides varius. RNAcentral describes it as "tRNA-Ser". Lineage: Eukaryota; Metazoa; Nematoda; Chromadorea; Rhabditida; Cephalobidae. The record is from RNAcentral.
AGGUUAUUUAAUAUUUAGUCUUGAAAACUAGAAUACUCAUCUUAAUGAGAUGGCCUU